Molecule: antisense RNA, 75 nt
Filed under: Streptomyces cinereoruber
Lineage: Bacteria; Bacillati; Actinomycetota; Actinomycetes; Kitasatosporales; Streptomycetaceae
Also listed under: 1 other name
Description: ASpks TB sRNA
Rfam family: ASpks TB sRNA
Source: RNAcentral
CUUGAGCGCGCCCAGCCACAACGGCCGGUCGUCCGCCCGCUCCCGCCCGUACGCGUUGAUCAGGGCCUGGGCCUC